Lycium barbarum (goji berry) is the source of this 1588-nucleotide long non-coding RNA. RefSeq lists it as uncharacterized. The transcript is spliced from 2 exons. Lineage: Eukaryota; Viridiplantae; Streptophyta; Magnoliopsida; Solanales; Solanaceae. The record is from RefSeq and is a predicted model, not a curated record.
UGUAGUCAUAUUAUUAAGAGAAAAAGAGUGGAAGAAAGAAGAAGAAAAAGGAGAGGAGAAAGAGGAAGUGCACGGCCAAGGGGCAAAAAUUUGGCCCCUUGAAAUAGUGAUCAAAAAAUUAUUCUCUCCUAGAAUUCCAACCAAUUUGAAGGCCCUCUUCGACAUGGUAUAGUUGUUUCGGAAGAUAGGUCGUUCGUUUCAUCAUUUCCGCACGUUGGUCAAGGGAAGAGGUUGAAGAGAAGAGGUAAUAUUUAAUCCUUUUUAUGAUGUUAUGAAGGCUUGUUUACAUUGUAGUAUGAAGGAAGGGAUAGAAUUCAUGAAAAUAUGGGAGGGUUGUAUGGUAUAGCCGUGUGCAUGCCUAUGUUGUGGAGGCAAGAUUAGUUAAUUUUUAUGUAGUAUUUUAAUUGUUGUUGUUAUGGAAUUUAUAUUGGAAAUGAAAGUUUGGUAAUUUUGGUUGAAUUUGUGGGUGUUGGAAGGUGGCCGAAUGUGUGUGUGUGUGUGGUAUGAAAUGUGAAUCAAGUUUUAUGUAAUAAUUUAAUUGUUGUCGAUAUGUAUUUUAGGAUGCAAGUGAGAUUAUGACGAUUCUAGUGAAGUUGAAAUUGUCGGAAAGUUGUUGUAGAAGUUAAUGGGAAUCGAAGGUAGACUUCUUGCAUUGAUGGAAAAUAAUGUCGUUAGUAUUUUGGUUGUCCUCGUUGUGAGUAUUAUGAUAGAAAAUGAAGUUUUAAUAAUCCAAGUUAAGAUUAUAAUCGUGUGGGCCGCAUUGGAAGGAAAUGUAGUCUUGAUGUGGUUUCUUGAAUUUAUGAAAUGAAGUUGUAAAUGUAUGUAUUGUGACAUAAUGUGUGAAUUUGGAAGGAAAGAAUGUGUUUGGUGUUGUUCUCGGGCUUGGGGACAAUUUCGGGUGAGUUGGAACCUUGCUCGAGUCGUUUUGGAAAAUUUUGUGAAUUGUUGGAAAUGUUAUGGAAUCAUGUUUGAAUGGUUUUGGAUUGAUUAUAUAUCUUGAUUUGAACGUAAUUGGAAUAUCGUCGCAUUAUGCGAAAGAAGGUUGCUAAUGUUAAAGUGUGUUUACAUUAACGGUCGAUGUUGUUAGAAUGUUUGUUGUCAUUGUUGUUGAUAUUGUGGCCGGGUCAAAUUCCCAGAUUGUUGUUGUUGUUGAUUGGGAGCCGAGCCGUAUUCUCGGGGUUGGUAUAUUUACAGGGGAGGUGCUGCCGAAAUUCCGGCAGGAUACAAGUGAAUGUGUUUGAAAGGUUAAGGCAGGUAUAUGAUAAUGAAACUAACGAAUGGAUGGAUUCUCCUGCAUGUAGACAAACAAAUUGGAUGCAUAAGCGUAGCUGGAGGUCGCGGCACAGGUACCCACAAGUGGAUAGACGAGAUUAGCUGAAGAUGAUCCAGUGGAUUGGCGGGCUCCAUUUCCUCCAGGAGUGCUGCCGAAUCAGAGUAUGUAUGCUGUGAAGUCUGAUCAGUAUUAGAGACUUUGCAGACAGCGUCGUGGGUAAUGAUAGUCAGUCUGUAAGCGGCUACAUCAGCCGAUAUGUCAUUUUGUGUUAUGUAGUAAAUUUCAUAUAAUUACAGAUUUGUUAAAUUCUGGAAA